RNAcentral lists this long non-coding RNA (838 nucleotides) under Monodelphis domestica (gray short-tailed opossum). Its description in RNAcentral is "lncRNA (ENSMODG00000044973.1)". The record is from RNAcentral. Lineage: Eukaryota; Metazoa; Chordata; Mammalia; Didelphimorphia; Didelphidae.
CCAAGGUCAGCCUGUAGAAAUGGAUUUUUCUUUGGACAAAGGAAAAUUGACAAUUCACUCUAGGCAUUUGAUUGAGAAAUGUUCAUUAAUUUGAAUAAUGGAAGAUAAAACCCACUGUUUCCUUAUCUAUUAAUGAAUUAGAUUCUAAAAAACAAAACAAAACAAAAAACUAAGGAACAAUUGCAUGGAGGAGUCACAAGUAUAAUCAUAGUCCUUUUUUAAAAAAAAAUUCAUUCAGUUUUAUUUAGUAUUAUUACUAGCAUUUUUAAUGGAAAAAUAAGAUUUUAUUCCAUUUCUUAUAGGGUUUGGUUAUGUCGGUCUCAGAAACUCAAAAACAAGAAGAGUCUGGAAGAAACUCUUUAUUAUUACCAAAGUAAUGACCUCAUUUUAGGGUGGAGUUCAUUCAGAGAAGAGUCACCAGGAGGAUAAGGGGACUGAACUGGAAGCUAUGCUUCAAAAGCAUCUGUGGAAGAAACUGGAUCUGUUCAGCCUGGAGAAUAGAAGACUUGUGAUAGUGAUGAUAAAACUGUCUCAGAGAAGUUAGAAGACUUGGCCCAUACUCAUACAUCUUUGAACAAAAGCCAAGGUGUGAUUUGAGUCUAGAUGUCACCUGACUCCAAGUGUAUCCCUUUUUUCUUGAUAAAACAGCGCCAACUCCUCUCUUUCCCAAUCUCAGUCCACGUCCAAAAGAAUGCCUCAGAUCCACAAUAACCACGAACCAGUCAACCAUCCUGAAAUGCCACAACUUAAUCAGUCACUUUCAAUUGCUCAAGAAAGAGAUUCUGCUUUUGCUCUAUUUGUGAAAGGCAGCUGGAUGGAUGAACAUUACCAGUUGUAA